CCUGGAACUCACUUUGUAGACCAGGCUGUCCUCAAACUCACAGAGAUCUGCCUGCCUCUACCUCCUGAGUGCUGGGAU
RNAcentral lists this microRNA precursor (78 nucleotides) under Mesocricetus auratus (golden hamster). Its description in RNAcentral is "miRNA (ENSMAUG00000003239.1)". Lineage: Eukaryota; Metazoa; Chordata; Mammalia; Rodentia; Cricetidae. The record is from RNAcentral.